GACGAACGCUGGCGGCGUGCUUAACACAUGCAAGUCGAGCGGUAAGGCCCUUUCGGGGGUACGACGAGCGGCGAACGGGUGAGUAACACGUGGGUGACCUGCCCUCAGCUCUGGGAUAAGCCUGGGAAACCGGGUACUAAUACUGGAUAUGACUCCAUGACGCAUGUUGUAGGGUGGAAAGCCUUGUGCGGCUGAGGAUGGGCCCGCGGCCUAUCAGCUUGUUGGUGGGGUGAGGCCUACUAAGGCGACGACGGGUAGCCGGCCUGAGAGGGCGACCGGCCACACUGGGACUGAGACACGGCCCA
Molecule: ribosomal RNA, 305 nt
Filed under: uncultured bacterium
Lineage: Bacteria
Description: bacterial SSU rRNA
Rfam family: Bacterial small subunit ribosomal RNA
Source: RNAcentral